AAAUUGAAGAGUUUGAUCAUGGCUCAGAUUGAACGCUGGCGGCAGGCCUAACACAUGCAAGUCGAACGGUAACAGGAAGCAGCUUGCUGCUUUGCUGACGAGUGGCGGACGGGUGAGUAAUGUCUGGGAAACUGCCUGAUGGAGGGGGAUAACUACUGGAAACGGUGGCUAAUACCGCAUAACGUCGCAAGACCAAAGAGGGGGACCUUCGGGCCUCUUGCCAUCAGAUGUGCCCAGAUGGGAUUAGCUUGUUGGUGAGGUAACGGCUCACCAAGGCGACGAUCCCUAGCUGGUCUGAGAGGAUGACCAGCCACACUGGAACUGAGACACGGUCCAGACUCCUACGGGAGGCAGCAGUGGGGAAUAUUGCACAAUGGGCGCAAGCCUGAUGCAGCCAUGCCGCGUGUAUGAAGAAGGCCUUCGGGUUGUAAAGUACUUUCAGCGGGGAGGAAGGUGUUGUGGUUAAUAACCGCAGCAAUUGACGUUACCCGCAGAAGAAGCACCGGCUAACUCCGUGCCAGCAGCCGCGGUAAUACGGAGGGUGCAAGCGUUAAUCGGAAUUACUGGGCGUAAAGCGCACGCAGGCGGUCUGUCAAGUCGGAUGUGAAAUCCCCGGGCUCAACCUGGGAACUGCAUUCGAAACUGGCAGGCUUGAGUCUUGUAGAGGGGGGUAGAAUUCCAGGUGUAGCGGUGAAAUGCGUAGAGAUCUGGAGGAAUACCGGUGGCGAAGGCGGCCCCCUGGACAAAGACUGACGCUCAGGUGCGAAAGCGUGGGGAGCAAACAGGAUUAGAUACCCUGGUAGUCCACGCCGUAAACGAUGUCUACUUGGAGGUUGUGCCCUUGAGGCGUGGCUUCCGGAGCUAACGCGUUAAGUAGACCGCCUGGGGAGUACGGCCGCAAGGUUAAAACUCAAAUGAAUUGACGGGGGCCCGCACAAGCGGUGGAGCAUGUGGUUUAAUUCGAUGCAACGCGAAGAACCUUACCUGGUCUUGACAUCCACGGAAGAAUUCAGAGAUGGAUUUGUGCCUUCGGGAACCGUGAGACAGGUGCUGCAUGGCUGUCGUCAGCUCGUGUUGUGAAAUGUUGGGUUAAGUCCCGCAACGAGCGCAACCCUUAUCCUUUGUUGCCAGCGGUCCGGCCGGGAACUCAAAGGAGACUGCCAGUGAUAAACUGGAGGAAGGUGGGGAUGACGUCAAGUCAUCAUGGCCCUUACGACCAGGGCUACACACGUGCUACAAUGGCGCAUACAAAGAGAAGCGACCUCGCGAGAGCAAGCGGACCUCAUAAAGUGCGUCGUAGUCCGGAUUGGAGUCUGCAACUCGACUCCAUGAAGUCGGAAUCGCUAGUAAUCGUGGAUCAGAAUGCCACGGUGAAUACGUUCCCGGGCCUUGUACACACCGCCCGUCACACCAUGGGAGUGGGUUGCAAAAGAAGUAGGUAGCUUAACCUUCGGGAGGGCGCUUACCACUUUGUGAUUCAUGACUGGGGUGAAGUCGUAACAAGGUAACCGUAGGGGAACCUGCGGUUGGAUCACCUCCUUACCUUAAAGAA
Molecule: ribosomal RNA, 1552 nt
Filed under: Salmonella enterica
Lineage: Bacteria; Pseudomonadati; Pseudomonadota; Gammaproteobacteria; Enterobacterales; Enterobacteriaceae
Also listed under: 8 other names
Description: bacterial SSU rRNA
Rfam family: Bacterial small subunit ribosomal RNA
Source: RNAcentral